Sapajus apella (tufted capuchin) is the source of this 103-nucleotide long non-coding RNA. RefSeq lists it as uncharacterized. NCBI's taxonomy places the organism in Eukaryota, Metazoa, Chordata, Mammalia, Primates, Cebidae. The transcript is spliced from 3 exons. The record is from RefSeq and is a predicted model, not a curated record.
UAUAUAUAUUUUUUAAAAAAAAUAGAGUUGGGGUGUCACUAUUGCCUAGACUGGUCUCAAAGUCCUGGGCUCAAGUGAUCCUCCCACCUCAUCCUCUCAAAGU